AUCAUGAAAAGAGAAAAAAGAUAUAUGCAUGUGUCCUUACGCAUGUACUGCAAAUUCCUAAGGAAACAGGUAGUCUGACAUGUUGCAGAUGCUGUGCUAAUUGCAGCACUGCAUGCUAGUGAUUCUCUUUCCCUCGAUUCUUCUUAGACUUGUCCUGAUGCAUGUCCAGCCUUGUCCAUUUUCAAGCUAAUUGGAAAAACACCAUUUCAUUCAACCCCAAAUGUUUUGCUUCAGAUAACUCAGGUUUAACUGACAUCCCAUGGGGUUCAUGUGCAUCUAGGGUGUGCAGCUCCAGGUGAGCCCUGCCAGAGAAACUACCUUAAUACUCUGAAUCCUACCUGAAUUUCCAGUCUUGAAAGUUUUGGAUAAUACGGAAUAUAAACUGGGUUCUCAUUACAAAUGAAAAAAAAAGAGAAAUGCCUGCAAACUAGAAAUAGGGCAUCUCUGCCAACUCGUUUUAAUAGUGUUGGAAAUUAGAAGCAGAAAAGGUCAUCUUGCCCAAUCCUUUCCCAGUAUUAAAAUGUUUCCCUCUGCACACUCAUGAGCAUCUUCUCAAUUUAUUUUCACAUUAUUUAAGCAAUUGGGCUUAUGCUGGUGCAACAGCGGAUGCUUUGAAGAUACCAUUCUAGCGUUUAAUGUGAUCUACCAUUGGGGUGAACAGCAAAAAAAAAAGGUCCUGUGGUUUUUUUGCUCAGUUUUCCUCAUUAACCCUAAUCGUAAUGCUAUGACCAACUGAACACAGAUAUUCCCUAUUCUGUGUUUACAGAUGUCAGAUAUGUUUUAGGUGGUCAUCACAUCCCCCAUCAUCAUUAUCACCACUUAGACAAGCUGUGUAUUUGCUGCUUCUCUUCAUCUUUCUUCGUAAGCCUGACUCCAUCACCUUAAUUAUGUCUACAGCUCUUCUCUGCAUCAUCGACCUAACUGGUACUGAUGUUUUUGAAAUUCCACUAUAUAACCAUAACAUUAUUAUUAACAGUGAUAAAAAUUCUGCUCUUAAGAUUAUGAGUGUCAUUAUCUCCAUUUAAGAGAGGAAAUCUGCCCAGUUUUCCCAAUCCAGCAUUUAUCUCUAGUCUGCUCUUCAGUACUGUUAACUAAGACACAGGAAACCAACACAAGUUAAUCAAGUUUCAAGAAUAUUUGAGCAUCAGUUUCUUUACACAGGCAUUUAUCUAUUACUGCUUAGGCACACAGGCACUAUGGAGAUAGACAGGGAAUGAAAAACAGUGGAUAGAUAGAAACAGAGACAGAUGCCAUGUAAUAGAAAAUCCAGCCAACAGUCUGAGACUGGAAGAGGAAUGCCAUAUCUAAUUGAAAUGGUGCUCUGCACUUUUGAGCAGUGCUCUCAACAAGGACGGAGACUAUUACCUUCUGCUCUUGGAGAAAAUGCCAUCACUUUCCUAUUUUUUUCCAUCCCCACUAUAGCAGCUAGCAAUUUUCCAGCAUUAAUACUUGAAUAGUUCUUUUCCCCAGCUAUAUUAGUUCACAUUUUUCUAGUUCCACUCACAGUAUAUCCUUGGCCUUCAAAUUUUUCUGAUCUUUUUUGUUACGAGUUUUGGACUUCCAUGACAUCUGUCAAAACACAUAUUUUAAUAUCACUAGUAAAUGGGCAGAGGCCCUGUUUUUUUGUGAGCCACAACCUGGAUAAAGCAGCCCCCAAAUAGUUAUUCUAAAACUUGAAAGGUGAAAGUGAUUUUUUGCUUGACAGAAAACUAAACUAGCACUUGCAAUACCUCUAUGGCCCAACAAGGGGUAAGGGGAACACAUUUUUAAGCCCAACCUGCUAAGAUACCCAGCACUGCAAAGAUGUGGGUUUGCCUUUUUUUCCAAAGGUACUCUUCUCCUUACUGCUAUCAAACUGCACACUAACAAAAAGGGAAUUUAAACCCUGCAGCCAGGAAACUACUGACUUUCCACUGAACAAACAACAGUGUAAUAUCAGAAAUACCUUUAAGGCAGGCUUGGUUGACAAACAGGUGUUUUCUCAGUAAGACAGUUUUCUUAUUGAUCUGUGCUAACAUCUUGCAGAAGUGAACAAUCUCAUUGCCAUGUCAAAGGCUAACCAUCUGUGAACAAGUAAUGCAGCCAGAAAAUCCAUGUUGCUACAAUAAUAGCUUUAGGACGUGGCUCUUAUUUCAAUCACUAGAAAAAGAAAUCCAGAGAAAACAUCUAAAACAUUCUUUUUCUGAUACAUAGUGUAUCUAGAAAAAUACUUUUGCUUACACAAAUUUCAUCUAAAUAAAUUGCAGUAAUCUGCACACUCUAUCAAGCAGGUAAGUUACUGAAAUAAUUGGAAAGUUCAUUUAUUGCAUUUCCUCCUUUGAUAUUGCAAUCACCUUCUCUCAGCCUCAUGCAUCAUAGCCCUUCUCUUAUUUAGAAAGUAUAAUUCCCUGUGGGACAAAUCACCUCUUUAAUAUCUGAAUAUGUACGUUAAUACUUUCAGGAUCGGAUACUUCUCUUUACGUCAAUAAACGGUAUUCAGCCGUACUGGAACCAGAAUUUUAGACUAAAGGCCAUUUUAAAGGAUUGAUAUGCAAGCACAGAAUCAUACUGAGAGGCAAACUAGUGACUCAACUGUGCUAGAAAAGAAAUCUAAUGGAAGGACUUUCGCAGACCAGGAGAUGGUCUUUUUAGAAAUUUUCUAGCUCAGUGAGAUAGCACUAGGUCCUAAAUAAUUGUCAUGUCAGAGGAUGCUGAGGCUGCUGGGAACAAGAUUUGAAUGAGGGAUUUAAUAAUCUGUCUGCUCCCUUAAAAACAUGAACCAGGAUCUUCCUUAUAUCAAGCUGAUGAGUAAUUAUUACUAUUAUUGUUGUUAUUGUUAUCUGCCUUUGAGGAGUUACUGGACAUUGCCCAGUCUAUAACCAAGUGUUAUGUCUAUAGUUAUAUCAUUGAAAAAUCUAAGGUUCUGGCUAGAUCUGGAAGGCUUAAACUUUGUCCUCUCGCUUACUAGUUAUGCUUGGGAAAUAGCCUCACGGAGUACCAGCAGCAUGGCAUCCAGAAACUGUGGUUCCUGUCCUCCUGAUGAUGACCAGCAAGGAGCAAAGAUGAGCUCCUCGUCUCUUCUACCCAGGCAGGAGUGCGUGAGCACAGAUAUUUCAUUGGCACAGUGGAAUACGAAGACGUCUAGCAUAACUAGCAACUACUGAAGUGAAAAGUGAAAGUACCUGCACAUUUACCUUGAAGACAAUGGCGUCAGUGCAGAGGUCAUGGAGCAGAAAGCACAUUGGCCUGUAACAUUUGAGCUCCUGGUCCUGAGAUGCAGCACAGAGUCAGGAAGGGAAUCCUUAAUCCCAAGACUUUUCAGCUCAGUGCACAGCACAAGAGAAAGCUGGGCAGGAAAGAUGCACAAUGGGAUGCAGUUGCCUCAGAUCUUUCCUGCUUUGUUCCUUCAUGUUGUCAUUGCAGCAACCAAAAGCCUACCAUCCCCAGCCAAUGUAGGCGAGCUACCUGUGAGGUCUAUUCAAUUUGUGCAUUAAUAUUCCACUGCUUGCUGCUUUCCAAACAGAUCAAAUCUCCUGAGCAUUUGUGGUCUCCUCCCCACCAUCACUAUUUUGUUGACUUGUUUCAGCUGAAAAUUUGCAUGAUCUUGGAAGCAUUGACUCCAAUUCUUUUUAAACUAGGUUGGAUAAAGAAAGUAUUGUAGAGACUGACAAUAGAACAAACUACUGCAGAGAACUACAAUAGAAAAUACAGCACUGUCAGUAAUUCAGCAAGCUCAUGGUUCUCUCCUUUUGGUCUCUUUCAACCCAAAACCUCAAAAACAACCAAUUGGCACUUCUUGACGUAUAUUUGCAUACUUGUUUACUUUUCAAAGUAAUUAGCUCUUAAAGUAUUACCAGGGAGCUGAACAAAUGUACCGUAUAGUUACAAAAACAAUACAAGAGAAACUGUUUGCGUUUGAAUGAAUUUGCUUUGCUGGUACCAUGCAUGUAUCAGCUGAGUGAACACUUAAUGUUGAACAUUAAUUAUACAAACAAAAGAAAUGGCACAAAGCUGUUGUCUCUGUUAGUUUUCUUCCAAGAUUAAUCCUUGUUUAUGUUAGAGGUUUUGUGUCCUUAAUAAAUUAUUGUGACUGCUUCAAAAGGGGUGAUAUUUAAGAUGAUUGAAAAUAUGCCCUGAUCAAUGCCCUAGACAAACAAGCUCUUAGCUGUUGAUGCUCACUCACUGACCCUCACUCGCUAAGAAAUUCUUUUUAUCAUGCUGUGAAUUUCAUCAGAUGGUCAUCAGCACAAUGGACUGAUGAUAGCUUUGCUCCCUUCUGGCCAGUUAUCUAACAUAUGGCUUUCCAGUCAACUGCUCUUGGUUUUAUGGCUUUUUUUCUGAUCCUCAAGAGAGAGGGCAUUAGAACAUAGUGAAAAAGAAAAGUGUAAAACUGCACUGAAACUUGUUGAAGAAAUACAGGUUUGAAGUGAACGUUUAAACCAAAAUCCCCAG
Molecule: long non-coding RNA, 4431 nt
Filed under: Strigops habroptila (Kakapo)
Lineage: Eukaryota; Metazoa; Chordata; Aves; Psittaciformes; Psittacidae
Description: lncRNA (ENSSHBG00005011495.1)
Source: RNAcentral